GAUGAACGCUGGCGGCGUGCUUAACACAUGCAAGUCGAACGGAAAGGCCACAGCUUGCUGUGGUACUCGAGUGGUGAACGGGUGAGUAACACGUUGGUGAUCUGCCCUGUACUUCGGGAUAAGCUUGGGAAACUGGGUCUAAUACCGGAUAGGAAUCACAUGUGGGUGUGUGGUUGGAAAGCUUUUGCGGUAUGGGAUGAGCUCGCGGCCUAUCAGCUUGUUGGUGGGGUAAUGGCCUACCAAGGCGUCGACGGGUAGCCGGCCUGAGAGGGUGUAAUGCAAAAUUGGGACUGAGAUAAGGCCCAGACUCCUACGGGAGGCAGCAGUGGGGAAUAUUGCACAAUGGGCGCAAGCCUGAUGCAGCGACGCCGCGUGGGGGAUGACGGCCUUCGGGUUGUAAACUCCUUUCGUCAGGGACGAAGCGAAAGUGACGGUACCUGGAUAAGAAGCACCGGCUAACUACGUG
This 466-nucleotide ribosomal RNA is filed under the name uncultured bacterium. RNAcentral's name for it is "partial 16S ribosomal RNA". It matches the Rfam family "Bacterial small subunit ribosomal RNA", at positions 28 to 507 of the family's 1533-position model. The record is from RNAcentral.